Molecule: ribosomal RNA, 1026 nt
Filed under: Neodevriesia grateloupiae
Lineage: Eukaryota; Fungi; Ascomycota; Dothideomycetes; Mycosphaerellales; Neodevriesiaceae
Description: SSU rRNA
Rfam family: Eukaryotic small subunit ribosomal RNA
Source: RNAcentral
AGCAACUAUACGGUGAAACUGCGAAUGGCUCAUUAAAUCAGUUAUCGUUUAUUUGAUAGUACUUCACUACAUGGACAACUGUGGUAAUUCUAGAGCUAAUACAUGCUAAAAACCCCGACUUCGGAAGGGGUGUAUUUAUUAGAUAAAAAACCAAUGCCCUCCGGGGCUCCUUGGUGAAUCAUAAUAACUUCACGAAUCGCAUGGCCUUGCGCCGGCGAUGGUUCAUUCAAAUUUCUGCCCUAUCAACUUUCGAUGGUAGGAUAGUGGCCUACCAUGGUCUCAACGGGUAACGGGGAAUUAGGGUUCGACUCCGGAGAGGGAGCCUGAGAAACGGCUACCACAUCCAAGGAAGGCAGCAGGCGCGCAAAUUACCCAAUCCCGACACGGGGAGGUAGUGACAAUAAAUACUGAUACAGGGCUCUUUCGGGUCUUGUAAUUGGAAUGAGUACAAUUUAAAUCCCUUAACGAGGAACAAUUGGAGGGCAAGUCUGGUGCCAGCAGCCGCGGUAAUUCCAGCUCCAAUAGCGUAUAUUAAAGUUGUUGCAGUUAAAAAGCUCGUAGUUGAACCUUGGGCCUGGCUGGCCGGUCCGCCUCACCGCGUGUACUGGUCCGGCCGGGCCUUUCCUUCUGGGGAACCGCAUGGCCUUCACUGGCCGUGCCGGGGAACCAGGACUUUUACUUUGAAAAAAUUAGAGUGUUCAAAGCAGGCCUUUGCUCGAAUACAUUAGCAUGGAAUAAUAGAAUAGGACGUGCGGUUCUAUUUUGUUGGUUUCUAGGACCGCCGUAAUGAUUAAUAGGGACAGUCGGGGGCAUCCGUAUUCAAUUGUCAGAGGUGAAAUUCUUGGAUUUAUUGAAGACGAACUACUGCGAAAGCAUUUGCCAAGGAUGUUUUCAUUAAUCAGUGAACGAAAGUUAGGGGAUCGAAGACGAUCAGAUACCGUCGUAGUCUUAACCAUAAACUAUGCCGACUAGGGAUCGGUGGGUGUUAUUAUUUUGACCCCAUCGGCACCUUACGAGAAAUCAAAG